GGUGAACUUGGUUUUGAUUUAAAGUGUAUAAUGUGAAUAAAGGUUAAUACAUGGUAUUUAUAUAGUUAGGUAAGGAGUGGAGUUGAUGGUUAUAAUUAUUUUGUGUAAUACAGAAUGAGUUAUGUUGAUUCUUGAUAUUAUAGUAGUAGAUGAUGUAUAAGAUUUUUACUAACACCAGUAUGUAGUUUUGGUUAAUGGAUGAAAAUUUGAACCAGGUUAGUUUGUUAAGGGUUGGUAAAUUUAGUGCCAGCAUCCGCGGUUAAACUAAAGACUCUAGUUAUAUAAGUGAUGGUAGAAAAGGUAGAUAGACGUGAUUAGGUAUUUUAAGGUUUAUUGUUUAGAUGUAAAAUGUGUAAAUGAUGGUUUAUUUUAGUUGGAGUAUAUGUGGGUUGAGUUUACGAUAUUUGAAGUUGAAACUAGGAUUAGAUACCCUAUUAUUUUUAGAUUUAAAUUAGUGUAAGGCUUACCUGGGGACUACGAAUAAUUUUGAAUUUAAAACUCAAAAAACUUGGCGGUAUUUUAGACCACUUAGGGGAACCUGUCUCGUAAUCGAUAGUCCGCGUUUUACCUGGCCUUAUAUUUUGUGGUAUGUAUACCGUCAUCGUCAGGUAACUUUUGAGAAUUAGUGAAGUUAGCGAUUAUAAAUUAAAAUUUAUUAAGACGUUAGAUCAAGGUGCAGCUUAUAUUGGGGUGAGGAUGGGUUACAAUUAAGAAGUUGUAAUAUGGAAUAGGAGAUGAGAGUUUCUUAAGAAGGAGGACUUAAAAGUAAGGAUUAAUGAAGUAGUGUUGUUCUGAAUUAAGAGGCUCUGGAGUGUGCACACAUCGCCCGUCGCUCUCGUUGAAAAAUGAGAUAAGUCGUAACAUAGUAAGGGUAACGGAAGUUGUUCUUAGAGAGGU
Molecule: non-coding RNA, 897 nt
Filed under: Margarya monodi
Lineage: Eukaryota; Metazoa; Mollusca; Gastropoda; Architaenioglossa; Viviparidae
Source: RNAcentral